AAAUAAGUUAAUUUUUCUUAUUAAAUUUAUUUUAUAAUUUAAAAUAUAAAUAAAUUUUUAAUAUUAUUGGAAAAUUUAAAUAAUUUUUCAUUUUAGUAAAAUUAAUAUUUAAAAUAAUUAUUUAAAUGAAAAUUUAUAAUAGAAAAUUAUAUUUAUUUUAAUAUAAUAUUAAUUAAAUUGAGUGCCAGCAAUUGCGGUUAGACUUAAAAUAUAAAUAAAUUAUAAAAAUUAGAUAAAGAUAUAAUAGUAUAAGAAUCAAAAUAAUUAAUUUAAUUUUAUAUUUAUGGUGAAAUAUGAAUAUAAAUAUAUAUGAUUAGUGUAGAUUUGAUUGAAGAUAAAUUUAAAUAAAUUUAAUUAAAAACUAGGAUUAGAUACCCUAUUAUAUAAAUAAAUUAAGAAUUAAUUUAAAUAUUAAAUGUAGAAUCAUUAAAAAUAAAAAAUUUGACGGUAUUUUAUAAUAUUAGAGGAAUUUGUUAAUUAAUUUGAUAGUCCACGUUUGGGGAGACUUAAUUAAGAUAUUUUUAUAUAUUGUUGUUGAAAAAUUAUAUUAUUAGAUAUUAAUUUAAAUUUAUAUAGAUUUUUUUAGUAAAAUAAUUCAAAUCAAAAUGUAGAAUAAUUAAGGUUAAAUGAAUUACAAUUAAUUUGGUUAGUGGAAUUUAAAAUUUAAUAGUUAAAGAAAGAGGAUUUAAAUGUAAAUUUAUAAAAAUUUGUAAGUUGAAUUUUUUUUAAAAUAUGUACAAAUUGCCCGUCAUUUUCAUUAAUAAAUUUGUGAGAAAAGUCGUAACAAAGUAAAUAUAUUGGAAAAUGUAUUUAGAUGAUU
RNAcentral lists this non-coding RNA (820 nucleotides) under Lepisiota frauenfeldi. Lineage: Eukaryota; Metazoa; Arthropoda; Insecta; Hymenoptera; Formicidae. The record is from RNAcentral.